UAAAAGUUUUAUUCUUGCUUAAAAAUUUAUUUAUAUUUUAUUUUACAUGUAAAUUUUUGUAUGAUUAAUUAAUAAUUUUUAAAAAAUAUUAAUUUUUAAUAUUCGCAGUAAUUAAUUUUAAUUAUUAAGGAAACUUAGAAUUAGUAAAAAUAUUUUAUACUGGCAAAAUUUGUGCCAGCUGCCGCGGUUACACAAAAAGUAUAAGUAAAUAAUAAUUGGUUUUAGUUAAAUUUUAAGUUAUAUUAAAAUAAAAUUAUUUUUAUUAGGUGAAAUUUUAAAAAUAAAUUUUUUUUAAUUAAAAAAAAUAAUUUAAGCUAUGAAAUUUUUAUAAUAAACUAGGAUUAGAUACCCUAUUAUUAAAAAUGUAAAAUUUAAAAUGCCUGAGUAGUAAGAGUUAAGUUCUUGAAACUUAAAGAAUUUGGCGGUGUUUUAGUCUAUUCAGAGGAACCUGUUUUAUAAUCGAUAAUCCACGUUGAACCUUACUUAAGUUUGUAUUCAAUUUGUAUACCGCCGUCAUCAGAAAAUCUUAUGAGAGUAAUAAUUUUCUAAAAUUUUAAUUAAAAAUUAUGUCAGGUCAAGGUGCAGUUUAUAUUUAAGUAAAAAUGGGUUACAAUAAAUUUAUUUAUAUGGCUAGUUAAUUUAACAAUUAAUUUAAAGGUGGAUUUGAUAGUAAAAAAUUAAAGAUAAUUUUUUUGAUUUUAGCUCUAAAACAUGUACACAUCGCCCGUCGCUCUCAUUUUUAAAGUGAGAUAAGUCGUAACAUAGUAGAUGUACUGGAAAGUGUAUCUAGAUGGAC
RNAcentral lists this non-coding RNA (796 nucleotides) under Ptychoptera scutellaris. The record is from RNAcentral. Lineage: Eukaryota; Metazoa; Arthropoda; Insecta; Diptera; Ptychopteridae.